AAGUCGUAACAAGGUUUCCGUAGGUGAACCUGCGGAAGGAUCAUUACAUUCAGUAGCCCAGCUACUUGUUUACACCCUUGUCUUUUUGCGUACUUAUCGUUUCCUCGGCGGGCUUGCCUGCCGGUUGGACAACUUUAUAACCUUUUUAAAUCUUCAAUCAGCGUCUGAAUAAUAUACAAUAAUUACAACUUUCAACAACGGAUCUCUUGGUUCUG
Molecule: unclassified non-coding RNA, 215 nt
Filed under: fungal sp.
Lineage: Eukaryota; Fungi
Description: partial contains small subunit ribosomal RNA, internal transcribed spacer 1, and 5.8S ribosomal RNA
Rfam family: Eukaryotic small subunit ribosomal RNA (bases 1-46)
Source: RNAcentral